This 460-nucleotide ribosomal RNA is filed under the name Pseudomonas sp. 8-F51. RNAcentral's name for it is "bacterial SSU rRNA". It matches the Rfam family "Bacterial small subunit ribosomal RNA", at positions 56 to 512 of the family's 1533-position model. Lineage: Bacteria; Pseudomonadati; Pseudomonadota; Gammaproteobacteria; Pseudomonadales; Pseudomonadaceae. The record is from RNAcentral.
UGCAGUCGAGCGGUUGACGGGAGCUUGCUCCCUGAUUCAGCGGCGGACGGGUGAGUAAUGCCUAGGAAUCUGCCUAUUAGUGGGGGACAACGUUUCGAAAGGAACGCUAAUACCGCAUACGUCCUACGGGAGAAAGCAGGGGACCUUCGGGCCUUGCGCUAAUAGAUGAGCCUAGGUCGGAUUAGCUAGUUGGUGAGGUAAAGGCUCACCAAGGCGACGAUCCGUAACUGGUCUGAGAGGAUGAUCAGUCACACUGGAACUGAGACACGGUCCAGACUCCUACGGGAGGCAGCAGUGGGGAAUAUUGGACAAUGGGCGAAAGCCUGAUCCAGCCAUGCCGCGUGUGUGAAGAAGGUCUUCGGAUUGUAAAGCACUUUAAGUUGGGAGGAAGGGCAGUAAAUUAAUACUUUGCUGUUUUGACGUUACCGACAGAAUAAGCACCGGCUAACUCUGUGCCAGC